This 25-nucleotide non-coding RNA is filed under the name Mus musculus (house mouse). The record is from RNAcentral. Lineage: Eukaryota; Metazoa; Chordata; Mammalia; Rodentia; Muridae.
UCCCCAGGCCUCAGCUCUUCAGCGC